UAUAUUAGAAUGGAAUUAGAGAAAGAAAACAAUCUUCAUCAAUUGUUUUCAAGGUGCACAUAUUCUGGCUUUUAGAAAUAGAGGAUGACAUGUGUUAUUAGAGGGUUGAUAUUUGAAUUCCGAAUUUCUUAUUUUUUUAAUUUAAAGUGUCAGUUUAGCAACUAAAUUAAUGAAAAAAAAAAAAGAAGACUCUGUUGAAAAAAUAAUAAUCAUGAUUAAGUAAAAUAAUAGAGUGGAAGCAAGCAAGCUAAUUACUAAUUAAUAGUAAUAAGUAGAUUUUUACUAAUAAAACAGUACCAUAUGAUUUAUGAGAAGGCAAUGAAUUAUUUUCUACCCCAUUUUGGAAGCUUUUGAUCAUUACAUAUUUCCAACAAAUUGAUUUCACCUUUUGAUAAAGGUACUUUUAUUUUAUUUUUUCACUGAAAUCAAUCCUUUUGAGAAUAUAUAACAGCUAAUUAACUUAAGUAACAUGACAUUUCUAGUUUUCUGGCCACACUAGAGUUGUUUUAUGUUGGUAUUGGCUUCAUGGUCACGCAGCAUAGUGUGGUGGCAUGGCCCUUAUUCAAUUACACUUUGAAAUAUUAAACAUGUUUUUAUAAACUUCAAGUUAGAAUCCUAUGCAAUGGUGGUUGUUUUAAGCAUGUCUUUAAUUCAACUUUACGCCUCAAACCGUGAGUAAAAGAGUUGAGAAUAUCUUCGUUUUAAGCAUGUCUUUAAUUCAACUUUACGCCUCAAACCGUGAGUAAAAGAGUUGAGAAUAUCUUCAUUUCUUAAAAGAAAUAACAUAUCCGUCAAUAUGAAAGCGACGUUAACACGUUAUGUUAUAAAGAGAGAUUUUAAAUUAUUUUAAGCUUUUUUGUCGCCUCUCUUAUAUAAAAGAUUUGAAAAAUAUAGAGGAUCUUAACUUGUUCAAACUGAAAUUUGAUGUUGCCAAUUAAAGCAUGCAAUUAAGACGAUCAACAUCCGAUUGCGCGAAUGUGGACUCUAGUAAAUGAGUCAUAAUUAUGACCAUACAACAAACAACUGAAAAUAUGGUUCACUAUUUUACACUUCUUGCAUUUAAAGGUUGUCCAUGUUGCAAAAAAUUAUCAAAAUCAUUAAAGUGAAUUAGUGGUCCUUCAUGCCCCAUCCAAGGAUGAAUGGCUGUCCACACCAAAUGUACAAAAUAAACAACUAAAGAUUCUCAUUUUGCUUGAAACAUAAAAUACAAAACAGUUUCGUAAGAGUAAUUCAGUUGGUAGCUAUAUUAUUAAUAUUAUUGAAGGAGUCGAAGUUUGAACCUCGAAUUUUUCACUUAUCUACACUAAUAGUAUAAUGUGAAAGUCUAAUCACUAAACUACUGGAAGAAGAAAAAACACAAGCCAAAUAAUGAAUAUGCUGUAAAAUAUCACUACUCAACAAAUUAAACAAAAGAACAAUAUUUUAUUGGUGCCAAUUCAUAAAGAAACCUACAAAGCAAACACAAUACUUUUGAUGGAAUCUCACUUUGCCAAAGUAUCUUAUAAAUUUUUUCCAAAUGUGCAUCCUCCUACAAUUGUAGAAAUGAGCGGAACAAGAUUUUGUGGAAAACCCAUUCACAUUCUCCACUUACCUUGCACAUAGGGGAGGAGCUAUAGGACUUUUGAGGGUUCAAGUGAGCCCCCUAAAUUUUGAAAAAACUGAGAAUAUGUUUCUAUAUAUUUUUUUGUAUACUGAAUUUCUAAUUAUUUUUUUUCUUUUCUUUUUGCACUAUAAAUUCAAAACAAAAAAAAAAGUUCAAAAACUCAAAAGUUUAAACACCCUUGACCAGAGUCCUAGCUCCAACAAUAUAUUGCGUUUCACACCCAUGAGUCAAUGUCUUCCCGCAAUAGAAUAUAAUAGACACACUAAUAGCACUAAUUGAGACACAACUCUUCCUCCCAAACGAAAAAGGAACGCCUCGUUUCUAUGUCUGUCUGCCCUUGCAAAAUUGACCCUAAUAUUGACAACCAAAUGUUGGAACAAAAUUGGUUCUAAAGCCUCAAGUUUUAAAUCCAUAAAGUUUUGAUGAUAACAAUAAGUAUUAAAUGUACAAUUGGUAGUACUAAUUUUUU
Molecule: long non-coding RNA, 2072 nt
Filed under: Trifolium pratense (red clover)
Lineage: Eukaryota; Viridiplantae; Streptophyta; Magnoliopsida; Fabales; Fabaceae
Description: long non-coding RNA (TPRA_LNC012546)
Source: RNAcentral